This 265-nucleotide unclassified non-coding RNA is filed under the name Hevea brasiliensis (rubber tree). Lineage: Eukaryota; Viridiplantae; Streptophyta; Magnoliopsida; Malpighiales; Euphorbiaceae. The record is from RNAcentral.
GUUAUUAGAUUUGCCCGCCAAAAAAAAAAUGAGGUUUUUUCAAUUCUCUCUGUUAUCUAAGGAUAUGAUUACAUUUAGCACAAUGUUUAAUUAAGCUGGGAAUAGACGAAGAAGAGCUACCAUGACUUAUGCUGAGACCUGGGCAAGGAGGAGAUAAAGUGGGAAGAACCUCAAGAAUAGAGCGAGGAGAAUAACAGGACACCAUUGCUGUUAAGUUGGAAGCUUUAUGAUGAGAUCCUUGGGCAGUUUCGCUGUCAGAAGCCAC